AUAAAGUUUUAUUUUAGCUUUAAGUUUUUUUAUAUAUUUAAUUUAUAUGUAAAUUUUAGUGAGGAUAAAUAUAUUAUUUUAAAUAAGUAAAUAAUUAUGUAGAUAAUAUAUAUAUAUAUAUAUAUAGUUAUAUAAAUUCACAAUAAAUAGUUUUAUUAAAUGAAAGAGAUUUUGAAAUAGUAAUUUAUAAAUAGUAUUGACUAAGUUUGUGCCAGCAGUCGCGGUUAUACGAAUUAAUACAAGAAAAAUUUUUAAGUUUAAGUUAAAUUAGUUUUAUAUUAAUUAUUAUAAUUUAUUAGGUGAAAUUUUUAAAUUUUAUAUUUUUAUAUUAAUAUAAAUUGAAGCUUAUAAAUUUUAUUAUUAAACUAGGAUUAGAUACCCUAUUAUUAUAAAUGUAAAUUUAAUAGCUAAGGUAGUAAAAGUUAUGUUCUUGAAACCUAAAAAAUUUGGCGGUAUUUUAGUCUAUUCAGAGGAACCUGUUUUUUAAUCGAUAAUCCACGUUGGACCUUACUUAAAUUUGUAAUUCAAUUUAUAUACCGUUGUUAUUUAAAAAUUUUAUAAGAAAAUAAAUUUUUAAGAUGCUUUUUAAUGAUAUAAAUCAAAUCAAGGUGUAGUUUAUAUUUAAGUUAAAAUGGGUUACAAUAAAUUUAUUUAUAUGGAUAUAAAUUUGCAAAUUUUAUUGAAAGUGGAUUUGAUAGUAAAAUUAAUUAGUAUAUUAAUUUGAUUUAAGCUCUAAAAUAUGCACACAUCGCCCGUCGCUCUUGUAAUAAAAUAAGAUAAGUCGUAACAUAGUAGAUGUACUGGAAAGUGUAUCUAGAAUGCA
Molecule: non-coding RNA, 823 nt
Filed under: Raymondia sp. A GC-2023a
Lineage: Eukaryota; Metazoa; Arthropoda; Insecta; Diptera; Streblidae
Source: RNAcentral